GGCAAAUGUUUCAAGGGCGUGAACUACCUGUAUUUUCGUGAACACCUGGUGUCUUCACUGAUUUUCUCAGUGGUUCAUUCAUAUCAUUUUGACAGCUAUUUUGUGAUUUGCAACACUCUGAGGAAAGCGGACUGUUUUUAUAAAUAUUCCUUGAUUCCAACCACUUUCUACAUUUCUUUCCCCCAGCGUUGUCACAUACAUCCUUGACGCAGAAUCAGACGGGGGCUACCAGGAGAUAGAAGAGAGAGGAUACGUUCAUCAGCGGGAAGACGAAAACGACGGGAGCUACCAGGAAAUAGAAGGUUGGUGUCUAAAGGUUAACUACAAGCAUGAUGUGUAACGGCUG
Molecule: long non-coding RNA, 346 nt
Organism: Haliotis rubra (blacklip abalone)
Lineage: Eukaryota; Metazoa; Mollusca; Gastropoda; Lepetellida; Haliotidae
Exons: 3
Source: RefSeq, a predicted model, not a curated record